UCUGCCUCUAGCCAUCCACAGCCCUCCUAAGUACUCCCAGCGCCAUGCUUGUGCGGGUACCAGGCCCCCUCCUCCAGGCAGGCAGCCGAGAUUGCUUGUAGGCCAGCAGACGGGAGCCCCGGAGGAGGAGAAUGCCUUGAGGACUAUGUCUUCUGAAGAGGAAAUGAAGCGCAGAAUUUAGGAAACCUGGACUGAACAUGAGCACAUCUCUGUUUACCCCCUAGGAGGCGACGCUGGGCACCCGAGGGCAAAGAGGGGCCCUCGGAGUAAGGGUCAGGAGAAAUGGUGCGCGCCCCUCUCUGCCCAGGGUCCCCGGAUCUGCUGUGUUUGGCAGAGGAAACGCUCGCUCUGAAGGUAAACACGGAAAGCUGAGAUGAAGGGGCAGAAUCAUCUGAUACCACACAUCCAAAAAGAGAAAGCAAGAAAUGACUUGAUUUUUGCCCGAGCCUGUGGCCACCCGGAGGAGCUGCCUUCACACGCCACUUUCCUUUGGGAUAGUCCUCCCCGGGGGCCGUAUCUUCGCGUGGAUCUCGCCCAGAUGCUGUCCAUUAUCCUACCUAAUAAAAGAGCAAUAUGCAGAUUGACCAUCACUUGUCCUUAGGCAGAAAGAACUCAGCGUCACCUGGUGCAGCAGCGCAGGCUGCAGGCUUCCCGGCUCCCAAGCAGCAGCAGAGCAGGGGCUGAAGCGUCACCUGCAGCCGGGCCGCGUGCCCCUGAGCCCACGGAGGGAGAGGCCGCAGCCGGGUGAGGAGACACACUCCGUCUCCUUUUCCAGACGUCAGCAUGGGGGGGUCCACCCAGGGAGAAGCCGCGCAAGGUGGGGGCAGCGUGUCGUUUGGGGCUCUGGGCAGAGGCCCCGAGGCAGGGCCUGGGUAGCUCUGAGUCCAUUGUAAUGUCACAUCCCACCCCCCCCUAUGAAAUUA
This is a long non-coding RNA of Pipistrellus kuhlii (Kuhl's pipistrelle), 923 nucleotides long. RefSeq lists it as uncharacterized. The record is from RefSeq and is a predicted model, not a curated record. The transcript has 3 exons. NCBI's taxonomy places the organism in Eukaryota, Metazoa, Chordata, Mammalia, Chiroptera, Vespertilionidae.